This 429-nucleotide ribosomal RNA is filed under the name Chloroflexota bacterium. Its description in RNAcentral is "Chloroflexi bacterium partial 16S ribosomal RNA". It matches the Rfam family "Bacterial small subunit ribosomal RNA", at positions 355 to 776 of the family's 1533-position model. The record is from RNAcentral. Lineage: Bacteria; Bacillati; Chloroflexota.
UGGGGAAUAUUGCACAAUGGGCGCAAGCCUGAUGCAGCCAUGCCGCGUGUAUGAAGAAGGCCUUCGGGUUGUAAAGUACUUUCAGCGGGGAGGAAGGCGGUGAGGUUAAUAACCUCAUCGAUUGACGUUACCGACAGAAGAAGCACCGGCUAACUCCGUGCCAGCAGCCGCGGUAAUACGGAGGGUGCAAGCGUUAAUCGGAAUUACUGGGCGUAAAGCGCACGCAGGCGGUUGAUUGAGUCAGAUGUGAAAUCCCCGGGCUUAACCCGGGAAUUGCAUCUGAUACUGGUCAGCUAGAGUCUUGUAGAGGGGGGUAGAAUUCCAUGUGUAGCGGUGAAAUGCGUAGAGAUGUGGAGGAAUACCGGUGGCGAAGGCGGCCCCCUGGACAAAGACUGACGCUCAGGUGCGAAAGCGUGGGGAGCAAACAGG